AAAAAGACAAACCCUGGUUUCCGUGCCCAACGUUUGAUCGUCCGUCUUAUUUGAAAAAAUUAUGAAAAAAAUUAAAAAGACAAGUCACGCAUAAAAUAUUAAUCAUGUUUUAUCAUCUAACAAUAAUAAAAAUACGAAUUAUAAAAAAAAUUAUAUAAGACAGACAGUUAAAGUUGGACACGGAAACUCAGGAUUUGCUUUUU
Molecule: microRNA precursor, 203 nt
Filed under: Oryza sativa Japonica Group (Japanese rice)
Lineage: Eukaryota; Viridiplantae; Streptophyta; Magnoliopsida; Poales; Poaceae
Description: MIR812 microRNA precursor family
Rfam family: MIR812 microRNA precursor family
Source: Rfam by way of RNAcentral